GGGCCGGACCGUGACUGGCGCUGAGGUGGAGCACCACCGUGGAGCGGUUCGCACACUCGAUGCCGUGCGCCUGGGCGAUUCCU
Molecule: non-coding RNA, 83 nt
Filed under: Streptomyces sviceus
Lineage: Bacteria; Bacillati; Actinomycetota; Actinomycetes; Kitasatosporales; Streptomycetaceae
Description: ZTP sequence
Rfam family: ZMP/ZTP riboswitch aptamer (pfl RNA motif)
About the family: Previously known as pfl RNA. ZMP is also known as AICAR.
Source: RNAcentral